UACAGAGGUCUCAAGCGUUGUUCGGAAUCACUGGGUGUAAAGGGAGCGUAGACGGCUGAGCAAGCCUGAAGUGAAAGGCGGGGGCCCAACCCCCGGACUGCUUUGGGAACUGUACGGCUGGAGUGCAGGAGAGGUAAGUGGAAUUCCUAGUGUAGCGGUGAAAUGCGUAGAUAUUAGGAGGAACACCAGUGGCGAAGGCGGCUUACUGGACUGUAACUGACGUUGAGGCUCGAAAGCGUGGGGAGCAAACAGG
This 253-nucleotide ribosomal RNA is filed under the name uncultured Eubacteriales bacterium. RNAcentral's name for it is "uncultured Clostridiales bacterium partial 16S ribosomal RNA". It matches the Rfam family "Bacterial small subunit ribosomal RNA", at positions 524 to 776 of the family's 1533-position model. Lineage: Bacteria; Bacillati; Bacillota; Clostridia; Eubacteriales. The record is from RNAcentral.